This is a long non-coding RNA of Pantherophis guttatus, 1414 nucleotides long. RefSeq lists it as uncharacterized. Lineage: Eukaryota; Metazoa; Chordata; Lepidosauria; Squamata; Colubridae. The record is from RefSeq and is a predicted model, not a curated record.
GCCACGUGCAUCCACAGCAAAAGAUGCCGGCAAUACCGGAGGGCGACAGCGAGUAUAUUCUCCAGAUUUGUCUGCCUGGAUGUAUCUAUAAUGCAUUAAGUGCUGGCAGAGCAUGUCAGCAGGUGCGCUGCUCUUAUUGCUAUGCUUCUCACACGCUGCGCGCCAGAGAGCCCUGGAUAAUUCCAAAGGUUACUGUGACGGGUGACUGAAUAGGCGGCGAAUUGACCUGCUUUAGAGGUGAAAAUGAGGAAGCCGCCUCUCCGCCAGCAUUAAAAGCCUGCUGCUGCUGCUGCUGCUUGAAAAGCCAAAUUAAAAUAAGGGAUCUAUUAAAACAAGAGAGCUGCCAUUCAAACCAGACGGCGGGGGAGGAGGAAAGGUUGCCAGCCAGCCAGGCGAGCUGCAAAGCGGCUCCCGGCCCAGCUGACGUUCGCCUCCUGUGGAGCAGAGGCGGCCGGGCGGGGAAUAACGAGCUCUCCAGAGGAUCCCGGCAACUGUUCCUGUACAACCCCAAGACUUAGGAACAGCAAAAGAGGGCAACAAUGGCAACUGUCCAUGAAAGAGUGGCUGAUUUCCGUCCAGAGCACAAGGGUCUGAUGCUGUGUUUUGCUCUCAGGAAAAAAAAAAUUCUGCAUUGAAAUCUCUGCCUGACAGCCAAGAGAGGAUUUCUGUCGGACCAGACAGCGUGUGCCAAGGGCUGGAACAGCAGGAACUUAGCAGAUGGGCUUCACAGACAACUGGCACCACACCACCGCUCCAUGCCCUAGUAGGCACCAGCCCUUUCGUGGAUGCUAAAUUUUUAAUUCUGAAAUUUAAAAGAACAAGCAAAUGUCCUGGGGGUUUCAAGCUGCUUCUUGAUUGAGAGCGGGCAGACACAGCGGCUGUCAAACCAAAGUAAACAGCGCCUCUUUGCUUGCCUAAUUAAGAGCACCAAUCUUUACCUCUUCAAACCAGUCAGCAGUCUCAAUUUCCCAAGGUCUUCAAGUGCUCUUCUGGUUUUAAAGGGCUAUUCAUCACGGCCAGCCAUUUUUUUUUUCCAUCCCAAGAAGCAAGCAAAAUAGGAAAAUAGCAAAAACAUGGAUGGAGGCUCAGACACAAUGAAACAGCCCACAUUCUAGAUGUGCCAGUGUGACUGCAGGACUUGAGUGCAGUCCUGUCAUCUGGAUUUUUUUGGGGGUCAGCCAGCUGGCUUUUGUUUUUUGAAAAGCCUUCUGCUGUCCACGAUCUUGUGUCUUUCACACGGUUGUGUGACAAAUAAAAAUUCACCAAGUAAAACAUUCCCUAGUAUGUAUUCUGCGGUUUUUAACUUUUUAGUUCUGUUGUAAUCUCCAUGAUUCAAUUAAGAGCAUAACAGAUACAGUAUAUAAAAUCUAAAAGGAUUCUGUUUUAAAAUAAAUUGGAUAUUUGUUUAGAUUCA